AUUGAACGCUGGCGGCAGGCUUAACACAUGCAAGUCGAGCGGAGUGAUGGUGCUUGCACUAUCACUUAGCGGCGGACGGGUGAGUAAUGCUUAGGAAUCUGCCUAUUAGUGGGGGACAACAUCUCGAAAGGGAUGCUAAUACCGCAUACGUCCUACGGGAGAAAGCAGGGGAUCACCUGUGACCUUGCGCUAAUAGAUGAGCCUAAGUCGGAUUAGCUAGUUGGUGGGGUAAAGGCCUACCAAGGCGACGAUCUGUAGCGGGUCUGAGAGGAUGAUCCGCCACACUGGGACUGAGACACGGCCCAGAGUCCUACGGGAGGCAGCAGUGGGGAAUAUUGGACAAUGGGGGGAACCCUGAUCCAGCCAUGCCGCGUGCGUGAAGAAGGCCUUAUGGUUGUAAAGCACUUUAAGCGAGGAGGAGGCUCCUUUGGUUAAUACCCAAGAUGAGUGGACGUUACUCGCAGAAUAAGCACCGGCUAACUCUGUGCCAGCCGCCGCAGUAA
Molecule: ribosomal RNA, 503 nt
Filed under: uncultured bacterium
Lineage: Bacteria
Description: partial 16S ribosomal RNA
Rfam family: Bacterial small subunit ribosomal RNA
Source: RNAcentral